UACGUAGGGUGCAAGCGUUGUCCGGAAUUAUUGGGCGUAAAGAGCUCGUAGGCGGUUUGUUGCGUCGGCUGUGAAAUCCCGAGGCUCAACCUCGGGUCUGCAGUCGAUACGAGCAAACUAGAGUGUUGCAGGGGAGACUGGAAUUCCUGGUGUAGCGGUGAAAUGCGCAGAUAUCAGGAGGAACACCGGUGGCGAAGGCGGGUCUCUGGGCAGUAAACUGACGCUGAGGAAACGGAAAGCCGUGGGUAGCAAACAGG
Molecule: ribosomal RNA, 257 nt
Filed under: uncultured bacterium
Lineage: Bacteria
Description: partial 16S ribosomal RNA
Rfam family: Bacterial small subunit ribosomal RNA
Source: RNAcentral